Long non-coding RNA from Neopsephotus bourkii (Bourke's parrot), 1974 nucleotides. RefSeq lists it as uncharacterized. The record is from RefSeq and is a predicted model, not a curated record. The transcript has 2 exons. NCBI's taxonomy places the organism in Eukaryota, Metazoa, Chordata, Aves, Psittaciformes, Psittacidae.
GGUGUCCCUGCCCAUGGCAGGGGGGUUGGAACUGGAUGAUCUUAAGGUCCUUUCCAAUACUAACUAUUCUACGAACAAGGGAUAUGUUAAGCAAUAAAGUAAUCAAACAGGGAGUAUGCCUGAUGUGAUGGCUUUGUCAGGUGUGUCAGAGGUGAAAGCAAGCUUAGGAAAAAGAAACAGGAGAUGGAAAACUGGAUGGUUGGAAGAGGAAAAAGAGUCAUUCACCAAUUACCUUUUGCUAGUUGUUUGAGGAAUCAUGGAAUCAGAAUGGUUUGGGUUGGAAGGGGCCUUAAAUCUCCUACAGUUCCAACCCCCUGCAAUGAGCAGGGACAUCUUCAACUAGAUAAGAUUGUGCAAAAGUAGGUGAAGAAGCUAUAAAAUCUGUAAAUGCUGAUAGUAAAUGAUAAUGGUUUCAGGUGUGGUAGUGCUGCAGUGUGGGAAUUCAGCUGUGAUACAUCUUUAUAGAUUUUCAAAAUCACAUAAAAAAGCAUCCUGACAUGGAGAUUUGUUGGGCUUUGGGAAGCGGAAUGUAAACAUGGGAAGUAGCCGAAGUCUUUGUUGUUUAAAAAAGUGCAUAAGGGGAAAUAAACCAAAAAAGUUACUUGUUUCCUUUUGCAUGGCUUCAAGACCUGUAAGCUGUUUUGUAUGUGUAUAACAAAAGCUGUCUUUUAUAGGAGAAAGCAUUGCUGUCAAGUGCCUUUCAAACAAGGAGUCUCAAAAUACAUUUCAUUGCAAUAAUUCCCAUAACAUUAUUUGGUGUUAAUUAUUUGCCAGUAUUCUAACUUGGGCAUGGAGCUCAGUUAAUUCCUUAUCAGUAGUUUUAAGCAGUCAUUUAAGCCAAUGCUAAAGGUAAGUUUUGGUGCACCUGCCUGCUUUCACUUUACUGGGGAAUCACCAGUGUUCAUACACAGUGAACUGUGUAAGGGACUUAAUCAGAAACUAACUCCUUUUUAAAUACACUCAUUUACCUUUAGGUUACAUUUAGUUCAGGUAAAUGCCAUGUGAUUUGCUGCACAGAUGCAUAGAUGUUCACACUCAAGAAAGAGAGCAGGAGCAUUUUAAAUUGCAGUAAUAGUUCAGAAGCAUGGCUCUGUAAUGUUAUGGGACUUUUAAAACCUGUUUCAGUAGCAAAAACUACUUCUUUAGCCUUAAAUAAUAUGAAAACUGAGAGUGUCUUCUGCCCAAGAUUGAAGGGCCUUUUCUCCUCCAAAUUCAUUGCCAAACAAAAGCACGUGUGUGCUAAAACCCCUUCUCUACAAAUGUGUUUAAGGUUCUUAUCUUCUAAAUGUGUAUAUAUCUGUAUAUGAACUUUACUAAUGAAAUUAAAGCAUCCUGAAGUCUGCUGGAUGAUGAUUCUUAUGAGGAGACAAUUUUCAAGUGAUUGCUAUAUAAAGGAAAGAAAAUGAGCUUAAUUCUUUUCAACAAUGUUACUAAAAGCCCAUUACCUAUAAAGAAAAUUAGUUUACUACUUAGUUGGAAAUCAUUAGCUUCUAUUGGACAGUACAGAAGUUGCCAAACCCCUUAUUUUUCCCUGCAGAAUAGCCUUUCAAGUGCACAUAUAGAAUCUGUAUGCUGGUGAUUUUGUGUCAUAAGUAAUACUCAAGACUAAAGUAUUGCUGACAGCGUAUUUCCAAGUGUGUCUUUGCCUGUUGACAUUGAAUGGGGAUUGCAUAUUGUGUUAGUAACGUUGUACAUAUAAUCUGUAUUCUCUGGAUAAAUUUAAGGAAUUUUGCCUGUUCACAUGGAUUUUUAAUUGCCUUUUCACCCCUCACUAUCUCUUAAGGUCAGCUGUCUCUUAAAUCCAGGAUCCCCUAUUACAUAAUAGCAGUUGCAAAAUGACUUCUUUAGUGUACAUCUGGAAUUGAGCUGCACGUCUCUCCCAGGGUGGAAGUCAGUGGGGCUUGAUUGUACUGUUAAAGUAUGAUUGUGUAGGCCUGCAGGUUUCCUGCUAUUAAAAAUGUAUUUGCAAGAGAA